This is a long non-coding RNA of Pangasianodon hypophthalmus (striped catfish), 2113 nucleotides long. RefSeq lists it as uncharacterized. The transcript is spliced from 3 exons. NCBI's taxonomy places the organism in Eukaryota, Metazoa, Chordata, Actinopteri, Siluriformes, Pangasiidae. The record is from RefSeq and is a predicted model, not a curated record.
UAUUAAAUUGUUUAAAUUGUUCAGUGAUUUUUUUUAUGUAAAAACAUGAAGGUGGUAUAUAUUUGCAAUGUCAUUCCUAACACUAAUCGUGCUUAAUGUUGGAUCUAGAUCGUUAUUCUGUGCUAAACAACUUCCGUAUUAAUUCAGUUCUCUAGAUGCUUUUCACUCACGGUCGCACAGUAUGUGAUUACUGUCAUUAGAGAAUUGUGAUCUGUUUCUUUUUUUUUCUUUUUAAAUAAAGAAAAGUCGAUUGCUGACGUUCACCUAAAAGAAUCGGUUCAAAGAAUCGGUUCAUGACGUCCGUGCAGUCUCACACACAUACACAGUUGCUCUGUCUCUCAAACACACAGCUGUUCUCUGCUCGUCCUGAUUCAACAGCCUGCAUAGCAAAUUAAUCAUGCCAAUGUCCAACCUUUAACACUUUCACUCUCUGUGUCGCACUCUCUCCUUCCUCACACACACACACACACAUGCACACACACACAACCUCUUUCCUGAUUUACUGAAACGCUUUUAACGUGCCUGUGGAUCUCAGUGAGCUGCUGCUGCUGCUUCAGUAUGCCUCAGUUGCACACUUAGCUGCGUCCUACUGACACCCUGUACACAGCUACACAAUGUAGCUUUUUUCCCUUCUCCAACACACCAGAUUCAGUUUAUCAUCAAUUAUUAGAGCUGUAAUGAGCACAAUAACUAAUCUGAUUCACUUGAAUACCAUGUCUUUAUGGCCAACAGUAAUAAAAUGGCAUUUUAAUACACCUCUAUGCAUUUAGAUUUUAGAUUUGAAUGUCCAAGCGUUGUGGUGUGACAUAGCACCUGAUCUGUGUGUUAUGCAACACCGGCUAGCUUUCUCUCCCUGAAUUAGAGACUAUAUUAAGAGCACUGUUGCUCCUGCCAAAUUAUGUGCUAGGACACUUACACAACUCUGGAGAAGAGAGAGAGCGAGAGAGAGAGAGAGAGAGAGAAUAAUGGAUUACGUUUUUAAAAAUUAUAAAUUUCUCUACAUUCCUAUGGCCUUAUGUUUGAUUUUUAUAAUUUUGUGAGCAACCCAAUGUUUCUAGGACCCAAUGUUCCCAGGGCUCUAUUUACCCAGGGCCUUAUUUUUCUAGGGCCUUGUGUUAUAUUUGUGUAAUUUUGGGACUUUCUUAGGGUGUUGUGUUCCCAGGUCCCAAAGUCUCAGCUACGUUCCUUCAACUGAAUCUGCAGUCCAAAUCAUAAUAACGAGUGAAAUAACAGGAGCCUUUAAUGAAACACUGCUGCUGUGUUAUUUAAUUAUGCCCCUUUUCAUUAUUUUGCUGCAUCUUCAAGAUGGUAUGUGAUUGUGUAAAUGGUGCUAACAUGUGUACCAUCGCUUAAACAGGGAAACCAGUGAGUCUCUAAAGACUGUUUAAGAGUUGAUGGUGAUUGGGGAAUACUUCAGACAGGAACUGAAUACAGACACACACAGACACACACAGUUUUAGAAGGAGGAAGUGGAAAGGAGACUGUGUGUGUGUGUGUGUGUGUGUGUGUGUGUGGGUGUGCAAGAGAACAUGGUGUGAGUAAUGUGAGAGUGGAGCGCUCUCCAACCGCGAAUGCUAAUAAUAUCCAUGGCCUUUGGAAGAACAACGUCGGUGUAAACGCCUAAUACGAUAUUCAGGCGCUGAGCGUUGCCCUGGGAUUCUCCUGCAGUGUUAUUAUAUCGAAGCAACAGACAAACUUUACAGUGCGGAAUGAGGAGGUGGUGACAGAGCUCAGAGAGAGAGAGAGAGAGAGAGAGAGAGAGGAGCACUGAUGUGGAAAUUUUCCCUAAGAGACGACUCAGAGUCCUAAUCAGUGUGUGGACGUCCUCUCUCACUCCGGAUGCACCUGCUGGCCCCCGAUCUGUAAUUUCAGCUCCAUGUAAAUGAUGUGGUGUCUCUCUUUCACUUCUCUCUGAGUGGAAGAACUCUGGUGUAUUUACAGACUGAUAUAUGAAAGUGCACCUCAUUAAUAAAAAGCAUCAGCAUCAACAUGGGACUGACAUAAAAGUUCAGUUGGACUUUCCACUCGUCUGAUUGGCUGAUAGCAGAUCCAGAUCCCGCCUCUGACGCUUUAUGAAAGCUGGCUCCACUCUGUUCAUCACUCUGCUGAUCAC